Podarcis lilfordi (Lilford's wall lizard) is the source of this 77-nucleotide non-coding RNA. Lineage: Eukaryota; Metazoa; Chordata; Lepidosauria; Squamata; Lacertidae. The record is from the annotation of a GenBank genome assembly.
GCCUGGAUAGCUCAGCUGGUUAGUAGAGAAUGGUGCUGAUAACACCAAGGUUGCAGGUUCAAUCCCAGUAUGGGACA